GAAGGAGAGCGCUCGGUAUUUUUCGGCAGCAGAGCAAGAACUCUUGAGUGAGGGAUUUCAGGAGUUUCAGAGUUUAAUUAAAACGCAAGGGAACACUGCAAAGGCUGCAAAAGCAAGGAGAGAGGGCUGGCAGGAAGUUGCUGACAAAUUAAACUCGUAAGUAAUUUAAUAAUAAUAAUAAUAAUGGAUUGGAUUUAUAUAGCGCUUUCCAAGGCACCCAAAGCGCUUUACAAUAGCACUAUUCAUUCACUCUCACAUUCACACACUGGUGGAGGCAGCUACGGUUGUAGCCACAGCUGCCCUGGGGCAGACUGACAGAAGCCAGGCUGCCAUAUCGCGCCAUCGGCCCCUCUGGCCAACACCAGUAGGCGAGCCACAACAGGACCCACUAGAACAUGGGAACAACAACCAAGAAAAGGGCAGAGCAAAAAAAGACAGGUGGUGGUCCUGCACCCCCUCGUCAACAAGUUGGUUACGUAAAUAAUA
Astatotilapia calliptera (eastern happy) is the source of this 486-nucleotide long non-coding RNA. The record is from Ensembl. NCBI's taxonomy places the organism in Eukaryota, Metazoa, Chordata, Actinopteri, Cichliformes, Cichlidae.